CGUACAGGUUUCCGUAGGUGAACCUGCGGAAGGAUCAUUAUUGAUUGGUCGAAAGACCUUAUCAGAUUCUACCACCUCUGUGAACCGUUGACCUCCGGGUUAAUAAUCAAACAUCAGUGUAACGAACGUAAGAGUAUCUUAAUUAAACAAAACUUUUAACAACGGAUCUCUUGGCUCUCGCAUCGAUGAAGAACGCAGCGAAAUGCGAUAAGUAAUGUGAAUUGCAGAAUUCAGUGAAUCAUCGAAUCUUUGAACGCACCUUGCGCCUUUUGGUAUUCCGAAAGGCAUGCCUGUUUCAGUGUCACGAAAUCUCAAUCUAAUAUGUUUUCUGAACAUGUUAGCUUGGACUUGGGUGUCUGCCAGCAAUGGCUCACCUCAAAUGACUUAGUGGAACAUCCCACAUCAGUGUUAGACGUAAUAAGUUUCGUCUCUCCUUGUGGUGAUGACUGCUCAAAACCUGCCAUCGCGCACCUUUUGACUUUGACCUGAAAUCUGGUAGGGCUACCCGCUGAACUUAAGCAUAU
RNAcentral lists this ribosomal RNA (524 nucleotides) under uncultured fungus. RNAcentral's name for it is "eukaryotic LSU rRNA". The stretch from base 151 to 304 matches the Rfam family "5.8S ribosomal RNA". The record is from RNAcentral. Lineage: Eukaryota; Fungi.